GGAGAGCCGAGUCCUGGCUGAGCUCACCACGGGCAUGUUCUGCUGGGUCUGUUUACUGCAUGGAGACUGGAAGCCCAAAUGCAGGUCCAAGAGAAAAGGAGAGAGAGAGAAAAGAAGCAGGAGGACAAGUAACACAUUGUGGUUUAACUGUCAGGUAUGGAGUUGGUAGUUCUGCACCAAAACCUAAGCAGAAGACAUGUCAAGGCUACACUGGGCAGAGGGGAGAACAGAAGUGGAAAUGUGAGAUCCUUCCAGGGCACAUAAACGCAUAGAGAAGUUUAAUGGCAAGCGUCGCAGAGUUGAGUCUGAUGCAGCUCUCUCCUGCGCAGGAGACCUUUUCUGGUCAGUGGUCAUAUUUUCUUAAAUUGCAUUUUAGGUUUUGGGGUACAUGUGAAGAACAUGCAAGAUUGUUGCAUAGAUACACACAUGGCAGUGUGAUUUGCUGCCUUCCUCCCCAUCACCUAUAUCUGGCAUUUCUCCCCAUGCUCUCUCUCCCCAACUCCCCGCCCCACACUGUCCCUCCCCUAUUUCCCCCCAACAGACCCCAAUGUGUGAUGCUCCCCUCCCUGUGUCCAUAUCUUCUCAUUGUUCACCACCACCUAUGAGUGAGAACAUACAGUGUUUGAUUUUCUGUUCUUGUGUCAGUUUGCUGAGAAUGAUGUUCUCCAGGUUCAUCCAUGUCCCUACAAAGGACGUGAACUCAUCAUUUUUGAUUGCUGCAUAAUAUUCCAUGGUGUAUAUGUGCCACAUUUUCCAAGUCCAGUCUAUCAUCAAUGGGCAUUUGGGUUGGUUCCAGGUCUUUGCUAUUGUAAAUAGUGCUGCAAUGAACAUUCGUGUGCAUGUGUCCUUAUAAUAGAACGAUUUAUAGUCCUUUGGAUAUAUACCCAGUAAUGGGAUUGCUGGGUCAAAUGGAAUUUCUAUUUCUAGGUCCUUGAGGAAUCGCCACACUGUGUGCCACAAUGGUUGAACUAAUUUACAUUCCCACCAACGUGUAAAAGUGUUACUAUUUCUCCACAUCCUCUCCAGCAUCUGUUGUCUCCCGAUUUUUUAAUAAUCGCCAUUCUAACUGGCGUGAGAUGAUAUCUCAAUGUAGUUUUGAUUCACAUUUCUCUAAUGACCAGUGAUGAUGAACAUCUUUUCAUGAUUGUUGACCCCAUGUAUAUCUUCUUUUGUAAAGUGCCUGUUCAUAUCCUUCACCAACUUUUGAAUGGGGUUAUUUUUUUCUUGUAAACCUGUUUUAGUUCUUUGUAGAUUCUGGAUAUCAGCCCUUUGUCUGAUGUGUAGACUGCAAAACUUUUUUCCCAUUCUGUUGGUUGCCAAUCCACUCUUAUGACUGUUUCUUUUGCUGUGCAGAAGCUGAGGAGUUUGAUUAGGUCCUAUUUGUCUAUUUUGGCUUCUGUUGCCAAUGCUUUUGGUGUUUUGGUCAUGAAGUCCUUGCAUAUGCCUAUGCCCUGAAUGGUUUUGCCUAGAUAUUCCUCUAGGGUUUUUAUGGUGUUAGGUCUUAUUUUUAAGUCUUUAAUCCAUCUGGAGUUAAUUUUAGUGUAAGGUGUCAGGAAGGGGUCCAGUUUCUGCUUUCUGCACAUGGCUAGCCAGUUUUUCCAACACCAUUUAUUAAACAGGGAAUCCUUUCCCCAUUGCUUGUUUUUGUCAGGUUUGUCAAAGAUCAGGUGGUUGUAGAUGUGUGCUGUUGCCUCUGAGGCCUCUGUUCUGUUCUAUUGGUCUAUAUCUCUGUUUUGAUACCAAUACCAUGCUGUUUUGAUUACUGUAGCCUUGUAGUAUAGUUUGAAGUCUGGUAGUGUGAUGCCUCCAGCUUUGUUCUUUUUGCUUAGAAUUGACUUGGCUAUGUGGGCUGUCUUUUGGUUCCAUAUGAAGUUUAAGGUGGUUUUUUCCAGUUCUGUGGAGAAGGUCAUUGGUAGGUUCAUGGGGAUAGCAUUGAAUCUGUAAGUUACUUUGGGCAGUAUGGCCAUUUUCACGAUAUUGAUUCUUCCUAACCAUGAGCAUGGACUGUUUCUCCAUUUGUUUGUGUCCUCUCUUAUUUCAUUGAGCUGUGGUUUGUGGUUCUCCUUGAAGAGGUCCUUUACGUUCCUUGUUAGUUGUAUUUCUAGAUAUUUUAUUCUCUUUGUAGCAAUUGUGAAUGGCAUUUCAUUCCUGAUUUGGCUCUAAGUCUGUUAUUGGUGUAUAGGAAUGCUUGUGAUUUUUGCACAUUGAUUUUGUAUCCUGAGACUUUGCUGAAGUUGCUUAUCAGUUUCAGGAGAUUUUGGGCUGAGACGGUGGGGUCUUGUAAAUAUACAGUUAUGUCCUCUGCAAAUUGAGACAAUUUGACUUCCUCCUUUUCUAUUUGAAUACCUUUGUUUCUUUUUCUUGCCUGAUGGCUCUGGCUAGAAUUUUCAAUACUAUAUUGAAUAGGAGUGGUGAGACAGGGCAUCCUUGUCUAGUGCCAGAUUUCAAAGGGAAUGUUUCCAGUUUUUGCCCAUUCAGUCAGUUUGUCAUAAAUUGCUUUUAUUAUUUUGAGAUACGUUCCAUCAAUACCAAGUUUAUUGAGGGUUUUUAGUAUAAAGGGCUGUUGAAUUUUGUCAAAGGUCUUCUCUGCAUCAGUUGAGAUAAUCAUGUGGUUUUUGUCUUUGGUUCUGUUUAUAUGGUGAAUUACGUUUAUAGACUUGCAUAUGUUGAACCAGCCUUGCAUCUCUGGGAUGAAGCCUAGUUGAUCAUGGUGGAUAAGCUUUCUGAUGUGCUGUUGCAAUUGGUUUCCCAGUAUUUGAUUGAAGAUUUUUGCAUCUAUGUUCAUCAUAGAAAUUGGCCUGAAGUUUUCUUUUCUUGCUGAGUCUCUGCCAGGUUUUGGUAUCAGGAUGAUGUUGGUCUCAUAAAAUGCUUUGGGAAGGAUUCCCUCUGUUUGGAUUGUUUGUAGUAGUUUCAGAAGGAAUGAUACCAGAUCCUCUCUGUAUGUCUGGUAGAAUUUGGCAGUGAACUCAUCUGGACCUGCACCUUUUUUGGGUGAUAGGCUCUUAAUUGCUGCCUCAACUUCUGCCCUUGUUAUUGGUCUGUUCAGGGUUUUGACUUCCUCCUGGUUUAGGCUUGGGAGGAUGCAAGUGUCCAGCAAUUUAUCUUUUUCUUCCAGGUUUACUAGUUUAUGUGCAUAGAGUUGUGAUACUCUCUGAUGUUGGGCUGUAUUUCUGUGGAAUCUGUGGUGAUAUCCCCUUUAUCGUUUUCUGUUGCAUUUCUUUGAUUAUUCUCUCUUUUCUUUUUUAUCAAUCUGGCUAGUGGUCUGUGUUUUGUUGAUCUUUUCCAAAAACCAGCUCCUGGAUUCAUUGAUUUUUUGAAGGGUUUUUUGUCUCUCUCUCUCCUUCAGUUCUGCUCUGAUCUUAGUUAUUUCUUGUCUUCUGCUAGGUUUUGAGUUUUCUUAAUCUUGCUCCUCUAGCUCUUUCAAUUUCCAUGAUAGGGUGUUGAUUUUAGAUCUCUCCUUCCUUCUCACAUGGGCAUUUAUUGCUAUAUAUUUUCCUCUAGACACUGCUUUAAAUGUGUCCCAGAGAUUCUGGUAUGUUGUGUCUUCGUUCUCAUUGGUUUUGAAGUACAUCUUUAUUCUGCCUUCAUUUCAUUGUUUAUCCAGUCAACAUUCAAGAGCCAGUUGUUCAGUUUCCAUCAAGCUGUGCAGUUCUGAGUUAGUUUCUGAAUUCUGAGUUUUAACUUGAUUGCACUGUGGUCUGAGAGACUGUUAUGAUUUCUGUUCUUUUGGAUUUGCUGAGGAGUGCUUUACUUUCAAUUAUGUGGUCAAUUUUAGAGUAGGUGUGAUGUAAUGCUGAGAAGAAUGUAUAUUCUGUGGAUUUGUAGUGGAGAGUUCUAUAAAUGGCUAUUGGGUUUGCUUGGUCCAGGUAUGAGUUCAAGUCCUGGAUAUCCUUGUUAAUUUUCUGUCUCAUUGAUCUGUCUACUAUUAACAAUGGGGUGUUAAAGUCUCCCACUAUUAAUGUGUGGGAGUCUAAGUCUCUUCGUAAGUCAUUAAGAACUUGCUUUAUGUAUCUGGGUGCUCGUGUUUGGGUGCAUAUAUAGUUAGGAUUGUUAGCUCUUCUUGUUGCAUUGUCCUUUGACCAUUAGGUAAUGUUCUUCUUUGUCUCUUUUGAUCUUUGUUGCUUUAAAGUCUAUUUUGUCAGAGAAAAAAAUUGCAACUCCUGCUUUCUUUUGCUCUCCAUUUGCUUGAUAAAUCUUCCUCCAUCCCUUUAUUUUGAGCCUUUGUGUCCUUGCAUGUGAGAUGGCUUUCCUGGAUACAGCACACUGAUGGGUUUUGGCUUUUUAUGAAAUUUGCUAGUCUGUGUCUUUUGAUUGGGGCAUUUAGCCCAUUUACAUUUAGGGUUAUAUUUUUAUGUGUGAAUUGAUACUGCCAUUUUGAUGCUAGCUGGCUGUUUUGCCCAUUAGUUGAUACAUUUUCUUCAUUGUGUCGAUGCUCUUUACCAUUUGGUAUGUUUUUGAAGUGGGUGAUACUGGUUGUUCCUUUCUAUGUUUAGUACUUCUUUCAGGAGCUCUUGUAAAGCAGUCUUGGUGGUGAUGAAAUCUCUGAGUACUUGCUUGUUUGUAAAGGAUUUAUUUUUCCUUCACUUAUGAAGUUUCAUUUGGCUGGAUAUGAAAUUCUGGGUUGAAAGUUCUUUUCUUUAAGAAUGUUGAUUAUUGGCCCCAACUCUCUUCUGGCUUGUAGGGUUUCUGCUGAGAGAUCUGCUGUGAGUCUGAUGGGCUUUUCUUUGUGGGUAACCCGACCUUUCUCUCGGGCUGCCCUUAGCAUUUUCUCCUUCAUUUCAACCCUGGGAAUCUGAGGAUUAUGUGCCUUGGUGUUGCUCUUCUUGCGGAAUAUCUUUGUCGUGUUCUCUGCAUUUCCUGAACUUGAAUAUUGGCCUCCCUUACUAGGUUGGGGAAAUUUUCCUGGAUAAUAUCCUGAAGAGUAUUUUCCCGCUUGGAUCGAUUCUCUCCAUCACAUUCAGGUACACCUAUCAAACGUAGAUUAGGUCUUUUCACAUAGUCCCAUAUUUCUUGGAAACUGUGUUCAUUCCAUUUUACCCUUUUUUCUCUAAUCUUGCCUUCUGGUUUUAUUUCACUGAGUUGAUCUUUGACCUCCGAUAUCCUUUCUUCUGCUUGGUCAGUUCAGCUGUUGAAACUUGUGUAUGAAGUAUGCACAAGAACUUGUGUAUGAAGCAUGCACAAGUUCUUGUGCUGUGUUUUUCAGCUCCAUCAAUUCACUUAUAUUCCUCUCUAAGUUGUUUAUUCUUGUUAGCAUUUCGUCAAAUCUUUUUUCAAGUUUCUUAGUUUCUUUGCAUUGGGUUUGAACAUGUUCUUUUAGCUCAGUGAAGUUUCUUAUUACCCACCUUCUGAAGCCUGUUUCUGUCAAUUCAUCACACUCGUUCUCCAUCCAGCUUUGUUCCCUUGCUGGUGAGGAGUUGUGAUCCCUUGUAGGAGUAGAGGCAUUCUAGUUUCAGGUGUUUUCAUCCUUUUUGUGUGCUGUUUUCUUCCCAUCUUUGUGGAUUUAUCCACCUGUCCUCUUUGUAGUUGUUGGCUUUCAGAUUGGUCUCUGAGUGGACGUCCAGUUAGUUGAUGAUGAAGUUAUUUCUUUCUGUUUCUUAGUUUUCCUUCUAACAUUCAGGCCCCUCUGCUGUAGGACUGCUGAGGUCCACUCCAGGCCCUGCUUGCCUGGAGAUCACCUGCAGUAGCUGCAGAACCAUAAGGGUUGCUGCCAGUUUCUUCCUCUGCUAUCUUUGUCCCAGAAGGAUACCCGCUAGAUGUCAUUCUGAGCUCUCCUUUAUAAGGUGGCUCUUUGAAUAUAUGGGGUCUGGAAGCUGCUUGAGGAGACUGUCUGUCCUUUAUAGGAGCUCAAGUGCUAAGUUGUGAGCUCCGUUUUUCAUUCAGAGCUGCUGGCCAGGUACUUUUAGGUCGCCUGCAGCAGAAUUCAUAAAUCCCUUUUUGUUUUUUCCCCAGUUUCUCUGUCCUCGAGAGUUAGGACUUUAUAAGUUUCUGUCAUGCUGCUGUCUUUCUUCAGGGCUGCCCUGCCCAGUGAGGUGGCAGCAUAGUCACUGCCUGCCUGCAGAGGCUUUGCUGAGCUCCGUCCAGGUGCUGUGUGAACUUCCCUGCAGUCCUUUUUAUAUGGGUAUAGUUAGAGCUGCCUCAGCAAUGGCGGCCCACCUCUGUAAUGGCAGACUCUCUCUGUAAUGGCGGGCUGCCUUGGCAAUGGUGGCCCACCUCUGUGAUGGCAGACUACCUCUGUAGUGGUGGACUGCCUCGGUAAUGGCGGACGCUCCUCCCCCACAGAGCUGGACCAUCCUGGCUUCAGCUGUGGUUGCUGUGAAUCUCUCAGUCCAGAGCAUUUCAAAUUGCUGUUUUGUGGGGUUGGGACCAGCCAAGUGUGAUCACCUGGCUCCCUGCCUCAGAGCCCUUUUUUUUUUUUUCAGUUGAACUUGAGACUCUGUCUCCCAGGUGUUUGUAGCCUGUUGAAAAGGCACCAGGAUCUGUGUGAUUUCCUGUGUGGCGAGCCACUGAGCUGGCGGAAACAGCUGUGCUGAGAUUCAUGGUGCUUUUUUGUCUGGGAAUCUCCUGGCCUGGCUCCUUGUUUCAUUCCCUUUUAUCAGUUGAAUCGGCAACUCUGUCUCUCAGGAGCUCCAAUCGCCAGCUAAAACGGUGCCUGGACCCGUGUUUUUUGUGCAAAGACCUGUUGCACUAGCCAAAACAGCCACGCUGGUGACCUGUGGGGCUCCUCCACCUGGGAAUCUCCUGGUCUGUGGGCAAUAAAAAUCCAUCUGGAAAUGUGGUGACCACUCACCCUCUGUGCUUUUGCUGGGAGCUGCAAUCCUGAGUUGCUUCUAAUCUGCCAUCUUCAACAUAUUAAUUUCUAGCACUUUGAAAUCCAUGCUCCUAUCUGUCAGUCAGAAUACCCAUCUUCUAUUUUUUCUAUUUCUCUGGUUAACUAACUUAAUAUGAAUUAGAUCAAUGUUUCUUUUAUGUUUGAGCACAUUUCCAAUGCUAGUAUUCUUGCUUUGAGCCUGGAUGGCUUUUGCAAUGGGUCAAUCUAAUCCAUUACUUGGGAUUUUUUUUUUUAAUACUAUCACCAUUAUAUGUUGACCUCAUUUCAUUGAUCCUAGAAGGAAUCCUUUUGUAGUUUCCUGACUAUACAACCUUACAACUAUACAACCUGACUACACAACUUUACUUUAAAUAAAACUGAAUGAUUGCAAAAAAUUUUACCCCAGAGUCUUUUUAUUAGGGAUUCCUGCUACCAUAUUAACAUAUAAAACAGUCUGGAUGUUGACAUAGAAAUGCAAAUUUCACUAUACAAAGAUAAGGCUCCAAUCACAGUAACAUGGCCCCCAUAUCUCUAGUAUUUCAAUGAAAUGAACUCAUUGUGAAUUCACCCCGAGUUUUGUUUAUAAAUAUUAGACAAACCACAAAAUAAAUUCCAAAUACAUAACAUUUUACAAUACUGUUCAAGCACAGACAAAUACAUACUUUACCUACAUUGUUUUCAUGAUCCAACUUGCAUUAGCACUAAAGGCAAGAACGUGUGUGUAUAUGUAUUUGCCAUAUAAGAGAGUGUGUGUGUGUGUGUGUGUAUAUAUAGAUCCACAAAUGAACAUACAGUGGCAUUCAUGGAACAUUUAACCCUUUCGGGCCAUGGGUAUUAUCCACCACAGUAUCUGGGAGGGAAAAGAAACAAUAAUAUGUCACAAAUUCCUCAAUUGGGACAAAAUAAGCACAAUUAUUUAUGAAAAGCAUGUAUGUUGUGUCUAUUCAAAGACACAUAUAUACAGAUUCAUAUAUAAACACACACACCAAUAAUAUGGAAUAUACAUAUACUCACACACUUGCACACUUGCUUUAAACUCUGUAUCUCACUAUAUUAUAUACUGUCCAUCUCUGGAAGAAGUCUUUUCCUCAUUCGAUUCAGGCAACUGGUGACUAUCUUCUAAUACAACUUAAAUGUAUAUUUCUAAAAGACUAAUUAUAUGCCAAGCAAAUGGCAUUUCAAGAUUCCAGUUUAACUUUUGAUGGCUGUUUAAAUUCAGCAGACCCUAUUCUGUCAGCUUCUUCACUUAAAAACAUUUCUAUUCAACAGUGAAGUUUCCACCUAAGAGAAAAGAGAUGUUAGCUGGAAAUGUUAAAAUAAUAUAUUUAUCACUACUUAAUAUAAAUCUGUAUGUUUGGAUUACAUGUGAUAUUUAUCCUAUCAUAUUUUUCAAGGAUUUUACAAUGGAAAAUAUAUUAUUUCCAUAAUUUAAAAAAUACUAUAUAUUUUUUUGAAAGCGUGAGGGCCAGAUGAUUUGUCAUAGUUAGAACGUCAGAGAAAUUUAUAUGAUACAUGAUCAGAAGGGGACUAAUUUUGUGCAGACUACACUGAAGCUAGAAAGCCUUAUGUUAGAAAGGCUGACUUAGAAGUCUUAUGAGAAAAGAACAAGAAAAAUACAAAUUUCAGUUUCAAAGCUAGCCAUCUGCAAGUUUCCAAAAUAAAUUGUUGAGGCUUCCAGUCACAGAAAAUAUAUUUCUACAUCAGUAUCAAAUUUCAGGUAGUAAACAAUCUUUACUGAAAAGCAAAAUAAAUCACUGAAAGCACACGAGAAAGGAAACCCCUCAAACUUAAUGGCAAAUAUAUAUUGUCAUUUGGUCAACUUCAGGCUUCAUGAACUGACUUUCAAAACUUAUUUCCAAAAUUAAAUGUCCAAUGAAGCAUUCAGAGCUCCACUGAGUGAGUGGAACUGGAAUGCCCAAUUUAGAAAUCAUGCUAAUGAUAAGGUUGGAGGUCAUUAGUUAGAUAACCAGUGGGCCCUGUAUCUUUGUACAUUAAGGCAGUGGAAUGUUUUCAAUCCAUGGAGAAGCUGUAUGCUCCAUGCCAUAAGCUCUAGACUCUUUUCUUUCUCCCACAUAACACAGUGUCAGUGGGUAGUCUGCAUGAGAAGGCAUCAGUACCUUGCUGAUGGUGCAAUGCUCUAACACCUUUUUUGAUACCAUUAAAUCCUUUGAUUAAAUCCUUUCCAUCAUGGAUUUAAUGGUAUCAAGGAAGGUACUAGAGUAUUGGUCCCCUCUACAGUCUGGUCAGAGAGUCAUGUCACUACUUUACCCAGACUGAAUUGGUAUAUCAUCUGAUGAGCCCUCUCCAGUUUCUCUAUGGAAGUCAGAUCUUAAAACAAGUGGGAAAGGAAAG
Long non-coding RNA from Callithrix jacchus (white-tufted-ear marmoset), 9160 nucleotides. RefSeq lists it as uncharacterized. NCBI's taxonomy places the organism in Eukaryota, Metazoa, Chordata, Mammalia, Primates, Cebidae. The record is from RefSeq and is a predicted model, not a curated record.